AAAUGUCACUAAGGGCCCGUUUGGUUCGAGUUAUGUAAUAUUACAAAGUAUCUCGACAUAUCCAGGUAUGUUGGAUUUCGGCGUGAGAUUACUACUAAUGCUGCAUUAGAGCGUUUGGUUUAAUACAGUAAUGUAAUACUAGAUUACAGUGUUUAUAGCAUUAAUAUGUUUGGUUCAGUUUAUAAAAUUUAGUAAUCCUAACAUAAAUGUAUAGUUUUUUUCAAAAUUGCCCAUGUUGUAGUCAUUUGAAUAUUGAUUUUUGCAGAAAUGACGAAUGGAGGGAAGGAGAUCGUGAUGAUUACUUGGGAGGACGACGCAAUAGAAGAUGAUAGGUGUUCGUGCGCGAGAGAGACGUCGAGAGAGAGCGAGAGAAAGCGGCUUGCGAGAGAGAGGGCUGGGACGAAGGCGAGAGAGAGAUGAAAAUAAUACUGUUAAUUAGAUUUGGGGUUGUUGGAGGGUAAAAUUAUCAUUUUACAUAAUAUGUAGUAUUAACGGGUUUCAGUAAUGCAAGAUACACGACCCCCCUCCCGUUAAUAUUUUCGAUGUAAUCCUGCUCGAUUUGUAAUGUUACAUUAACGACUAGAUUACAU
This 590-nucleotide long non-coding RNA is filed under the name Ananas comosus (pineapple). Its description in RNAcentral is "long non-coding RNA (ACOM_LNC035161)". The record is from RNAcentral. Lineage: Eukaryota; Viridiplantae; Streptophyta; Magnoliopsida; Poales; Bromeliaceae.